GAUGAACGCUGGCGGCGUGCCUAAUACAUGCAAGUCGAGCGAACAGACGAGGAGCUUGCUCCUCUGACGUUAGCGGCGGACGGGUGAGUAACACGUGGAUAACCUACCUAUAAGACUGGGAUAACUUCGGGAAACCGGAGCUAAUACCGGAUAAUAUAUUGAACCGCAUGGUUCAAUAGUGAAAGACGGUUUUGCUGUCACUUAUAGAUGGAUCCGCGCCGCAUUAGCUAGUUGGUAAGGUAACAGCUUACCAAGGCAACGAUGCGUAGCCGACCUGAGAGGGUGAUCGGCCACACUGGAACUGAGACACGGUCCAGACUCCUACGGGAGGCAGCAGUAGGGAAUCUUCCGCAAUGGGCGAAAGCCUGACGGAGCAAAGCCGCGUGAGUGAUGAAGGUCUUCGGAUCGUAAAACUCUGUUAUUAGGGAAGAACAAAUGUGUAAGUAACUAUGCACGUCUUGACGGUACCUAAUCAGAAAGCCACGGCUAACUACGUG
RNAcentral lists this ribosomal RNA (497 nucleotides) under uncultured bacterium. RNAcentral's name for it is "partial 16S ribosomal RNA". It matches the Rfam family "Bacterial small subunit ribosomal RNA", at positions 28 to 507 of the family's 1533-position model. The record is from RNAcentral.